RNAcentral lists this ribosomal RNA (253 nucleotides) under uncultured bacterium. Its description in RNAcentral is "partial 16S ribosomal RNA". It matches the Rfam family "Bacterial small subunit ribosomal RNA", at positions 524 to 776 of the family's 1533-position model. The record is from RNAcentral.
GACGUAGGAUGCGAGCGUUGUCCGGAAUCAUUGGGCGUAAAGAGUUCGUAGGCGGCAUGUUAAGUCUGGUGUUAAAGCCCGAGGCUCAACCUCGGUUCGGCACUGGAUACUGACAAGCUAGAGUGUAGUAGAGGCAAGGGGAAUUCCCAGUGUAGCGGUGAAAUGCGUAGAUAUUGGGAGGAACACCAGUGGCGUAAGCGCCUUGCUGGGCUAUAACUGACGCUGAGGAACGAAAGCCAGGGGAGCAAAUGGG